CUUGUCUGAUGUGUUUCCUGUCUAGCAGCUGUGUGGGUGUUGGCUCAGCUACACCAGAGCCCCGCUGGGAUCAGGAUUUCUCCUUUCUUAGCUGGUUCCUGCUGCUAGGGCAUGAGAGGCUGGGAAGGGAGGACUGGGCUGUCUCCUGCUUCAGCCAACAAAGUGAAUCAGACAAAGAAUGAGGCUGAACUCAUCAAGGGUGAGUGGGAGAGAGCAUCAUCAAGGUCUUUUAAAUCAGACAGGAUGCUGUAGAACCACAUGGACAUAAUCACAUAAUCAUGGUCCUUAAAGAAUUUUAAAUGUUUUUUUUCUUUAUCUGAUGGCUCCAUUGCAGACAGACUUGGCUGUGUCCACACCAGAGCAUGAGACCGUCACUGUUUUUUGGUUAUGUCAGUGAACUAUCUUCACUCCCUCCCACCAAGAAGCAUAGGAAUGUAUUCACCACCAGAUUAAAACCAGCAUCAAUUUGACUCUCUGCUCUACUGCACUCUAAGUUCUGUGAAUAUUAAUAGAAAUUUAUUUGUUGGAUGGUUGACUGCUUAAAUUCAUCUGCCGUUCCUCGGUUGGAGUCAUUCAGGCCAUUAAUGUUGAGCACGCGCCCACUCAAGUAGGGGCCAAGUGUAGGUCACAGGCAUGCAGCCAGUGUGUGUAACUAAAGGUCAGACUUGUAAAAUCCAGCACAUAAGAGAUGGUGUAAUACCGCCUAAAUUGAUGAUUUUGAAUAUAUUUUAGGUGCAAAGUGAUAUAGCAGCAGCUGAUUUUUCAUUCACAUUCAAUAACCUUCAAGCCCCAGGUCUAACAACCACCUUCCUGUGAGUGUCACCUACUGCUCCUAUGCUAUCCAUGCAGUGCAGGCGCCUCUCAUGGGUUCCAUCAUGUCAUCUGCAAUGGUGAGGUGCUACCAGGAACAUCACUGCAGAAGGGUGUGUAGUUAUCUGGUGACAGACUUAAUUAACUAUGUCAUGCAGUCACUGUGCAGUCAUAGACCAAUUACUUAACUUCUCAGGGCCUGUGCUUACUCAUUUGUAAGAUGGGGAUAAUAAUAACCUUGUAGAGCUGUUUUGGGUGAAAUGACUUCAAAGAAAGAGGUAAAGCUUUGGAAAAGCACCUGGAAGAGUGCAAAUGCCGAGUUAUCAAUUAUUGUUUUCAAAAGGAGUUGGACAAACUAAAUCACUUCAGUGAGAGCAUCAACGAUAAAUAAGUAAGCAGGGUGCAGUGGCUCAUGCCUGUAAUCCCAGCAUUUUGGGAGGCCAGGGUGGGUGAAUCACUUGGGGUCAGGAGUUCCAGACCAGCCUGG
RNAcentral lists this long non-coding RNA (1297 nucleotides) under Homo sapiens (human). RNAcentral describes it as "HSALNT0232266". The record is from RNAcentral. Lineage: Eukaryota; Metazoa; Chordata; Mammalia; Primates; Hominidae.